RNAcentral lists this ribosomal RNA (279 nucleotides) under uncultured bacterium. RNAcentral describes it as "partial 16S ribosomal RNA". It matches the Rfam family "Bacterial small subunit ribosomal RNA", at positions 506 to 784 of the family's 1533-position model. The record is from RNAcentral.
UGCCAGCCGCCGCGGUAAUACGGAGGGGGCGAGCGUUGUUCGGAAUUACUGGGCGUAAAGGGCGCGUAGGCGGACGAUCAAGUCAGGGGUGAAAGGCCUGGGCUCAACCUGGGGACUGCCUUUGAAACUGAUUGUCUAGAGUCCGGGAGAGGAUGGCGGAAUUCCCAGUGUAGAGGUGAAAUUCGUAGAUAUUGGGAAGAACACCAGUGGCGAAGGCGGCUACCUGGUCCGGAUCUGACGCUGAGGCGCGAAAGCGUGGGGAGCAAACAGGAUUAGAUA